AGUGAAGAACUGCUGCACGGUUGACGCAGGUUCAAAUCCCGCCAUA
This 46-nucleotide transfer RNA is filed under the name Gloeochaete wittrockiana. RNAcentral describes it as "partial tRNA". The record is from RNAcentral. Lineage: Eukaryota; Glaucocystophyceae; Gloeochaetales; Gloeochaetaceae.